CCUUCACCCUAGAUAUGUGCCUCCGUUCCUCGACACUACAUUUAGAAAAAAAACUCAUCAUCACUCUCGAAACUCUUUAAGAGAAACUCUCACUCUCAUUUCUUCGAAUCGCGAUGACUCUGUCCGGCCAAACCUCCGACUGUCGUCUUUCACGUCCCGUCAAUUUGAAUCUGCCAGACCCACAAAAUGAAUCUCUGUCGACGAUUUUUAUUGACUCUUCCUCAUUUCAUAUCUCGUCUCUGCUCUCAAAUCCCAAGCUUUCCCUGGUUUUCACGGAGGUUCCCGGAUCUUUGAAAUCGACUUCAUUCACAGAGUCACCUCAGUUUAGACUGGAUUUGGGAUCAGGGAAACUUUUGGAGAAGUUGAAGAACAUGUCAAGAAGCUUGAAGAAGCAGUUGGCAUGUUUAAAGUGGAGAGCUAGAAGAAGAUAGGUCGAAGAUGAUGUUUGGCUUACAGAGAAAGCCACAGCCAAGCACACUCUUAGACCGAGCUCAUGAUGUACAACUUUAUUUCAGAGCGGAAGGUACUUGAAGAAAUGAGUUACUCUGCGACCAUUAGUGGGAACUACUUAGGCUUCAAUGAUGAAAUACAAAGUAAUUGAGAAUGUGCUACAAACCAUUUAUUAUGUAGCUGUUCAUUUUUUUCUUCUUCUAAUUAUGUUUUUUUUAGGAGGAUAAAGUAUUCUUAUUUUU
This is a non-coding RNA of Camelina sativa (false flax), 692 nucleotides long. NCBI's taxonomy places the organism in Eukaryota, Viridiplantae, Streptophyta, Magnoliopsida, Brassicales, Brassicaceae. The record is from RefSeq and is a predicted model, not a curated record.